Molecule: ribosomal RNA, 392 nt
Filed under: uncultured bacterium
Lineage: Bacteria
Description: partial 16S ribosomal RNA
Rfam family: Bacterial small subunit ribosomal RNA
Source: RNAcentral
AUACGGAGGAUCCGAGCGUUAUCCGGAUUUAUUGGGUUUAAAGGGUGCGCAGGCGGCCAUUUAAGUCAGCGGUUAAAUCGUGGGGCUCAACCCCAUUCUGCCGUUGAUACUGGGUGGCUUGAUUGCGGUCGAGGUUGGCGGAAUUCGUUGUGUAGCGGGGAAAUGCAUAGAUAUGACGAAGAACACCGAUUGCGUAGGCAGCUGACCAGACCGCAAAUGACGCUCAUGCACGAAAGUGCGGGGAUCGAACAGGAUUAGAUACCCUGGUAGUCCGCACAGUAAACGAUGAAUACUUGUUUUCGGCGAUAUAAUGUCGGAGGCAAAGCGAAAGCGAUAAGUAUUCCACCUGGGGAGUACGCCGGCAACGGUGAGACUCAAAUGAAUUGACGGGG